CCUACGGGCGGCAGCAGUGGGGAAUAUUGGACAAUGGGGGAAACCCUGAUCCAGCGACACCGCGUGAGUGAAGAAGUAUUUCGGUACGUAAAGCUCUAUCAGCAGGCAAGAAAAUAACGGUACCUGACUACGACGCCCCGGCUACCUCCGUGCCAGCAGCCGCGGUAAUACGUAGCGGGCAAUCGUUAUCCGGAUUUCCUGGGUGUAAAGGGAGCGUAGACGGCAGCGCAAGGCUGGAGUGAAAUGCCGGGGCCAAACCCCGGAACUGCGCUGGAACCUGGGAAGCUGGAGUGCAGGAGAGGUAAGCGGAAUUCCUGGUGUAGCGGUGAAAUGCGGAGAUAUCAGGAGGAACACCGGCGGCGAAGGCGGCUUACUGGACUGUAACUGACGUUGAGUCUCGAAGGCGUGGGGAGCAAACAGGAUUAGAUACCCCAGUAGUC
This 440-nucleotide ribosomal RNA is filed under the name uncultured bacterium. RNAcentral describes it as "partial 16S ribosomal RNA". It matches the Rfam family "Bacterial small subunit ribosomal RNA", at positions 338 to 795 of the family's 1533-position model. The record is from RNAcentral.